CAAUAGCGUAUAUUAAAGUUGUUGCGGUUAAAAAGCUCGUAGUUGGAUUUCUGCUGAGAACGACCGGUCCGCCCUUUGGGUGUGUAUCUGGCUCUUUCUUGGCAUCUUCUUGGUGAACGUUGCUGCACUUGACUGUGUGGAGCGCUACCCAGGACUUUUACUUUGAGGAAAUUAGAGUGUUUCAAGCAGGCAUACGCCUUGAAUACAUUAGCAUGGAAUAAUAAGAUAGGACCUCGGUUCUAUUUUGUUGGUUUCUAGAGCUGAGGUAAUGAUUAAUAGGGAUAGUUGGGGGCAUUCGUAUUUAACUGUCAGAGGUGAAAUUCUUGGAUUUGUUAAAGACGGACUACUGCGAAANCANNNGCCGAGGAUGUUUUCAUNGA
Molecule: ribosomal RNA, 380 nt
Filed under: uncultured eukaryote
Lineage: Eukaryota
Description: partial 18S ribosomal RNA
Rfam family: Eukaryotic small subunit ribosomal RNA
Source: RNAcentral